Molecule: unclassified non-coding RNA, 5060 nt
Organism: Apis florea (little honeybee)
Lineage: Eukaryota; Metazoa; Arthropoda; Insecta; Hymenoptera; Apidae
Source: RefSeq, a predicted model, not a curated record
AAAAUAGUCCGCGCUCGCAGAGACACGACGAUCACUUCGGGAAACGUGACACUCGUGACAGUAGUUUUACAACAUUUGUGAAAUUCACGGCGGGGUCUAAAGGAAGUAACCGAUCGGUACAAAUCGUACGUCGAGCAUAUUAAUGGUCAAGAAAUACGUGUAUACGUAGGCGCGAGAAUAUCAAAAGGAGUUGAUAUUACUACGCCGCACGUUGUGGAAGGAAGCAGAAAUCGAGUACUAGCAGGAAGUGGGUAGAAGGGGGUACGUCGUUGAGCUAGUUGAUUCGGUGGUGGCUACAUGUGGCUGUCCGCCGGUCGCGACUACGAGACAUUUCCUAUUGAGGCAUAAAAAGUUACAUUUUCCAACGGAAAUCGAUAGUUGAAAGAAGCCGUAAUCAUGCAAAUGGAUCCAACGACGGUGCAACUUAUCCAGGUUCUAGAGAGAACAGUCUCAUCAGACAAAAAUGAAUUGGAGGCAGCUCAGAAUUUUCUAGAGCAAGCAGCAAGGGCUAAUCUUCAUGAAUUUUUGCAAAGACUUAGCAGCGUGCUUGUUACUGCUGCUGCAAGCCCUGUUGCUCGUAUGGCAGCAGGUCUUCAGCUUAAAAAUCAACUUACAUCCAAAGAUCCAGACCUAAAAUAUCAAUAUCAACAACGUUGGCUUGCGAUUCCUGUAGAAACAAGAGAAUAUAUUAAGAAAAAUAUUUUUGGGGCACUUGGAACAGAGAACAAUAGGCCAGGUUCUGCACCACAGUGUGUUGCAUAUGUAGCAGUUGCUGAAUUACCUGUUCGUGAAUGGACCAAUGUUAUUCAGCUGUUAGUUAAUAAUGUUGUAAAUCCAAACAGUACAGAAAUGUUAAAAGAAGCAACACUAGAAGCCAUUGGUUAUAUUUGUCAAGAUAUAGAAAGCGAUGUUUUGGUACCUCAGUCUAAUGAAAUUCUCACAGCUAUUAUUCAUGGUAUGAAAGGAUCUAGUACUUCGCAUUAUGUUCGUCUUGCAGCUACAAGUGCACUCUACAAUUCAUUAGAAUUUACCAAAGGAAAUUUUGAGAUAGAGACAGAACGAAACUUCAUUAUGGAAGUGGUAUGCGAGGCGACGCAAUCUUUAAACACACAAGUUAAAGUAGCAGCAUUACAGUGUCUUGUGAAGAUUAUGUCGUUAUAUUAUCAAUAUAUGGAACCUUACAUGGCUCCAGCACUUUUUCCGAUUACUUUAGAAGCUAUGAAAUCAGAUAUUGAUGAAGUUGCACUGCAAGGAAUUGAGUUUUGGUCAAAUGUAUCUGAUGAGGAAGUAGAUUUAGCCAUGGAAGAAGGUGAAGCCUCCGAUGGUGGUCGACCGCCGGUCAAAGUAUCGAGGCAUUAUGCAAAGGGUGCUUUGCAAUACUUGGUACCUGUUUUGAUGAAGAAACUCACUAAACAAGAAGAAUUCGAUGAUGAAGACGAUUGGAAUCCUUCAAAAGCAGCCGGAGUAUGUUUAAUGUUACUAUCAUCUUGUUGCGAAGAUGCUAUUGUUCCAUUCGUUUUGCCAUUCAUCAAAGAUAGUAUCAAAAGUCCAGAUUGGAGGUAUAGAGAUGCUGCUUUGAUGGCUUUUGGUUCGAUUCUCGGAGGCGUCGAUCAUGCCACUUUGAAACCUUUGGUAGAGCAAGCAAUGCCAACACUUAUCGAACUAAUGUAUGAUAGCAGUGUCGCGGUAAGGGAUACAGCUGCAUGGACGUUUGGUCGAAUUUGUGAGAUCAUACCAGAAGCGGCGAUUAGUGAGACAUACCUGAAACCAUUGUUAGAAGCUUUGAUAAAUGGUUUGAAGGCGGAACCUCGUGUUGCAGCAAACGUUUGUUGGGCAUUUACGGGUCUUGCAGAGGCUAGUUACGAGGCUGCUGAAAGUUUAGAAGGGCAAAAUCCAGAAACUUAUUGCAUGUCUCAAUACUUUGAUUUUAUUAUUCAGAGAUUAUUGGAAACAACAGAUCGUCCGGAUGGAGCUCAAGCUAACUUAAGGUCAGCUGCAUACGAAGCGCUAAUGGAUAUGGUGAAAAACUCUCCGCGCGAUUGUUAUAUAACCGUGCAGAAGACGACGAUGGUAAUUCUGGAAAGAUUGCAGCAGGUACUGCAAAUGGAGACACAUAUCCAGAGCCAUUCGGAUCGUGCUCAGUACAACGAUUUGCAAUCGUUGUUAUGUGCAACUUUACAAUCCGUACUCCGUAAAGUUACACCAGAAGAUGCUCCUCAUAUCUCUGAUGUAAUAAUGACAGCGUUAUUGUCCAUGUUCAAUUCGAAUUCUUGCAAAGCCGAGGGUGUACAGGAAGAUGCUCUCAUGGCUGUAUCGACUCUGGUCGAAGUGUUGGGAGAGCGUUUCUUGAAGUACAUGGAUGCGUUCAAACCCUAUCUUUGUCUUGGUUUAAAAAAUUAUGCAGAGUAUCAAGUUUGUUGCGCUGCGGUAGGUUUGACUGGUGAUAUCUGCCGCGCCUUGAAGAGCAAGAUGUUACCUUACUGCGACGAGAUUAUGACCCUGUUGCUAGAAAAUCUUAGCAACGAUUCGGUUAAUCGUUCUGUGAAACCUCAAAUCUUUUCUGUUUUCGGUGAUGUUGCUCUUAGUAUUGGUCCAGAAUUCAAGAAAUACUUGGAUGUGGUACUUCAAACGCUGGCUCAGGCUUCCCAAGCGAACGUGGAUAGAAGCGACUAUGAUAUGAUCGAUUAUUUAAAUGAAUUACGCGAAGGUGUUCUUGAGGCUUACACUGGUAUAGUGCAAGGACUACGUGGUGACGAAACAAAUCCUUGUUCAGACGCUGCGAUUGCUUUGGUGGAGCCACACGUACCCUUUAUCAUUCAGUUUAUUACAUCAAUAGCUCAAGACCGUGAACAUUCCGAAGGCAACAUUUCAGCCUCGGUGGGAUUGCUUGGUGAUUUGGUCACUGUUUUCGGAGUAAAACUUUUGCCAAUGGUUGAGACUGAACCGCUUACAGAGCUCUUAACUAAAGCUAGACGAUCACGCAUUGAUAAGACCAAAACUCUGGCCAACUGGGCAACUAAAGAGAUUCGAAAGCUCAAGAAUGUUGCUAAUUCCACAUCUAGUUGAUCACCCCACGGUUGUACUGUCGUGCAAUUUGAUUUGACUAGAGAGCUAUCGAACACAAUACAAAGACAACAAGAUUGGAUGGUGCGGAUGCGAGUUGAUGGAUGUGCGUGAGUUUCGAAGCGAUGACGAUGAUGGGGUGAUGAAUCUGCACGUGUCCCUGCUCUGGCGACGGUAUUCGAGUACCGACACGUUGAGCACAACCCCAAAUGAUCGAGAAAAUAAAUACCUGUCUGCCGGAUGUCUGCCGACAACGGAUGAUGAGGAGUGCAAGUGGAUGUUGCCGAUGAAUGAGCCAAGGCCGAAGUCUGCCGAAAUGUUCCGGUGAUGCAAGUAUGCCUGAUAACGAGCCUGGGGCUUCUACCCGCGUGAUUGAGAAGUUGAACCUGAGGAAAGGACGACUUCGAUGGACGAUGUUCGUGGCCAGUGAGAGAGAGAGAGAGAGAGAGAGAGAGAGAGAGAGAGAGAGAGAGAGAGAGAGAGAGAGAGAGAGAGAGAGAGAGAGAGAGAGAGAGAGAAUGUUGUCGAAUGCUGCCGAUCGACGAUCGGACCAAACAUUAUAAUUUACGCAUGUGAACAAUUCGGGCGAUAAAUGUGGGUUGAAGCAAAAGCAAGCAAGAAAGAAAGAAAGAAAGAAAGAAAGAAAGAAAAAACGAAUAAACGAGAACACGAGUUGGAUGAAGUCCUAUUUAGCCUGCCACUUUGUAAUUUGCUCACCCUCUCCAAUUUAUUUCCUAGAGGUUGAUUUUUAGAUCGACCGAGCCACUAAUAAAAAAAAAAAAAAGAACAAAAGACAAAAAGUAAAAAAAAAAUUAAGCCGCAGAAAUUUGAAAAAUCCAUCAUGUUUUUUGGCCUAUUCUACAUUUAACUGAUUCAACAUUUCUCGUAUAUCAAAUAUUUAGCGAAUAAAACCUACGAAUUUUGAUUCAUACGAUCGCAAAGCGUGCCUUUUGAUACUCUCGACAUAAUUCUUUUCGUUCGAGGAGAAGAUCUUACUUUCCACACAGGGAAACGAAAGCUUCGUUCAAGCGAGAAAAUAUUACUAGUCCGUUAUCGUAUAUAAUUAUCAGGGAAGAUAAAGUUCAAAGUAGAGAUUAACGUUCUAACGAGAAAACUUUAUUUUACUAUGCAUAAAAGAAGAAUCUUAGCAGUGCAUGCUUAGGAAGACUUUCUUUUUUUUUCCUCCGUUUCUUCGAAAAAAAUUUCAACGAUGAUUUGCCGUUGUAAAAAUAUUCUAGAAUAGGAGAGGGUGCGCAUAUCUACGUAGAGCGAGAUAUUCACGAGUAUUCUUUCCGUUUCUUUUCGAUUCGUAUCAAUCGUGUGGUUUGCGGAGCCUGUGUUCUGUGAAGAUUUUCAAAUGACAACGAUUAUAUGUGACACAUCGGCUACAUCGCUUAUCUGAAUGCUAGAGCGAUCGUGGAAUGAUUGGAGGACGAUUCUUUUGGAAAGUGUGUUCGAAGAUGUAUGAUCGGUCAUGUUAAUAGAUCAACGGAGAAUUUAAUUGCGCAGUGAAAAGAGGGAAAGAAUAAAAAUAUAAAAAAAGAACGAAAGAUUAGUAAUCCAUGGUUACAUUAAGUUAACAAGGUUUCAACGGUCAUAUAAACAAAUUCAUUAUUAGUUUUUCAUAUUUUUCAUCGUUGAUAUCUUCUUGUAUCCCGCCUUAUCUAUUGGAACGUGAAUAUUCCUAUAAGUAUGUGUCAACCCUCUCCUCCAAUCAUUAAUAUGGCUGGUCGUACUCUGUCAGUGUGCGUACGAGAAAUGAUUUUUCAUUGAAUCGCCAAGCGACAGUGCCAUACGAUUAAUUGAACGAGAGAAAUCAUUUCGAUUACUAGCAUCGCGAUUUUCAUCGUUCUAAAGAGGAAAAAAAGAAAAAAGAAAAAAAAAAAGAAGAUCGAGAAAAAUGAAAAAGAGAGUGAAAGAACGAGGGAGGGAAAAAAAGAGACCGAUGAGAGAAAGAAAACACAAAAACACAAUUGCGUUCUGUAUGUCUCCUAUAC